RNAcentral lists this ribosomal RNA (253 nucleotides) under uncultured bacterium. Its description in RNAcentral is "partial 16S ribosomal RNA". It matches the Rfam family "Bacterial small subunit ribosomal RNA", at positions 524 to 776 of the family's 1533-position model. The record is from RNAcentral.
UACGUAGGUGGCAAGCGUUGUCCGGAAUUAUUGGGCGUAAAGCGCGCGCAGGCGGUCUUUUAAGUCUGAUGUGAAAGCCCACGGCUCAACCGUGGAGGGUCAUUGGAAACUGGGGGACUUGAGUGCAGAAGAGGAGAGUGGAAUUCCACGUGUAGCGGUGAAAUGCGUAGAGAUGUGGAGGAACACCAGUGGCGAAGGCGACUCUCUGGUCUGUAACUGACGCUGAGGCGCGCAAGCGUGGGGAGCAAACAGG